GAUGAAGAACGUAGCGAAAUGCGAUAAGUAAUGUGAAUUGCAGAACUCAGUGAAUCAUCGAAUCUUUGAACGCACAUUGCGCCCCUUGGUAUUCCGAGGGGCAUGCCUGUUCGAGCGUCAUUAUAACCCCUCAAGCUCAGCUUGGUGUUGGGGCCUGCUGCACUGGCAGCCCUUAAAAUCAGUGGCGGCGCCAUCUGGCUCUAAGCGUAGUAAUUCUUCUCGCUAUGGAGUCCUGGUGGAUGCUUGCCAUCAACCCCCAAUUUUUCUAUGGUUGACCUCGGAUCAGGUAGGGAUACCCGCUGAACUUAAGCAUAUCAAUAAGCGGAGGA
This 329-nucleotide unclassified non-coding RNA is filed under the name soil metagenome. RNAcentral describes it as "partial contains 5.8S ribosomal RNA, internal transcribed spacer 2, and large subunit ribosomal RNA". The stretch from base 1 to 120 matches the Rfam family "5.8S ribosomal RNA", at positions 35 to 154 of the family's 154-position model. The record is from RNAcentral.